RNAcentral lists this ribosomal RNA (648 nucleotides) under Triticum aestivum (bread wheat). RNAcentral's name for it is "partial small subunit ribosomal RNA". The record is from RNAcentral. Lineage: Eukaryota; Viridiplantae; Streptophyta; Magnoliopsida; Poales; Poaceae.
AUCAAGGGAGAGGUGCAGAAAAAUGAGCUUUGUGGCCUGUUGUCUGCUGUUUUCUGUAAGAAUAGGCAAUGGCCAUGGCAGGUGAGAGAGUUAUCUAGCAAAACCUUCUUAGUUAGGUUCCCUCCAUGGAAAAGUGCUGAGGACUUGAUUGAAUUUCCAGCCUUUGAUCUCCCUAAAGAUGGUGUGAAUGUAAAUGUGACUGAAUGGAAAGGGGCUUGUGAUCCUUUUGGAGAACUAGUUGAAGCUUGGGUCCUGAUUGAGGGUAUACCACCUAAAUGGUGUACUUGAAAGGUCUUUUGUCAGAUAGCGUCAAUGUUUGGGGUUCUCACUGAUGUAGACUGGAAAGGCAUGUUCAGGACUUUUUUUGAGAAUGUAAGAGUUAAAAUUGCUUGUAGGGAUCCAACCAAAAUUCCUUUUGAAAGGUUGAUAGAAAUGAAGAAGAAGUUGUUUCUUAUUGGAUUUACUGUGGAAGGGUUUGAACAAACUGGUGGCCUGGAUGUUGUGGUUAAUGAAGAAGAGGAUGAUGAUGAAGAGCUUGAGGAAGAUAAUGAGAAUAACCAUGAGGGCAAGGAUGAUGGUACUCAGGAUGACAUUUUAUCCAAUGAUGAGAAUGCUAUAGAUGAUCUAGAUAAGGCCAUUAGGCUCUAA